GAACUCACUUCGGGAGCUCAUACACCAAAACUGGAAUCACACACAACAAAAGAUUAGCAUGGCCCUUGUAUAAAGGAUAAUAUACAAAUUUGUGAAACAUUUUUUAAUUUA
Sciurus vulgaris (Eurasian red squirrel) is the source of this 111-nucleotide small nuclear RNA. The record is from Ensembl. NCBI's taxonomy places the organism in Eukaryota, Metazoa, Chordata, Mammalia, Rodentia, Sciuridae.